Molecule: long non-coding RNA, 515 nt
Filed under: Zonotrichia albicollis (white-throated sparrow)
Lineage: Eukaryota; Metazoa; Chordata; Aves; Passeriformes; Passerellidae
Description: lncRNA (ENSZALG00000015658.1)
Source: RNAcentral
AUAAAGCUGAGGACUGCCAAACACAUGCUUGAAUCUGGUUCAUGUCAGGCCUUAUUGUCCUGAGAUUACAUUCUGCACAAAUAAUAUUUACUAAUCAGGGACUUGAGAACUCUCUGAACUUGUCUCAGGGAUUUUUACUGUGUCAGGAUUUUUAACGAGCCGGAGGAAAAGCAGCCUCGGCUAUUCCAGACUGCAGGUGAGAGUUUGCUCCUGGCAAGAAGAAAUGUCAUAUACUGUACCAUGAACUUCAUCAUGUUUACUCUCUUAACAGUGGGUACAGUGCCAUCUAAAACUUCCCUGUGCCUGUGCAAUGAAGAGCAAGAGCUCCUGGAUGUCUCAAGCAGGUUUUGAACGACCAUCACGCUCCGAGCUCCCCUCGCCUGCUGCAAAAUCCCUCCGCAAGAACCUGCAGAUUCCCCAUUUGAUCACCGAAUGUUUAAAGAAAAGAAGUAACUGAGUUCUCUGCAGAUUGCACACACAGAGAAUAAAACAGCAGCCUUUUUUUUUUUUUUGCA